RNAcentral lists this long non-coding RNA (475 nucleotides) under Ananas comosus (pineapple). RNAcentral's name for it is "long non-coding RNA (ACOM_LNC022404)". Lineage: Eukaryota; Viridiplantae; Streptophyta; Magnoliopsida; Poales; Bromeliaceae. The record is from RNAcentral.
AAAUUACACACAAAAACAUCGUCAACUGAGAGUUUAGCUACACUGCAAAAAAUCUCAGUCCUUACAUCUAUAUACCCCUCAUACGUUUGAAAAUAUCCGAUUUACCCAAACUUUUUUUUUCUCUAAAAUACUCCUUAUAUGUUCCACUGUUAUUGCAAAAUACCCCUGCAGUUAUCUCCUGUUAAAAGGCAAAUAAGAAAUGUUACUGACGGUAGAGAGGUAUAUUAGAAAAGACCAAAAGUCAAAAUACUUUUUCGUGCCCCUGACUUUAAGGGUAAAUAAGAAAGACAGUGAUAGUGGAAGGGUAUAUUCGAAAGGGCAAAAUAACAUUUUUUACAGGGAUAACAGAGUUAAUUAACAGAUUUUAAUUCUAGGGGUAUAUUAGAAAUAGGUUGAAACUUAGAAAGUGUAUUUUCAAUAUUAGCUUUCUAAGAGGGGUAACUUGAAAAGUCGGGAACUUUUUAGGGGUAUAUAA